Molecule: ribosomal RNA, 905 nt
Filed under: Plateros sp. UPOL A00499
Lineage: Eukaryota; Metazoa; Arthropoda; Insecta; Coleoptera; Lycidae
Description: SSU rRNA
Rfam family: Eukaryotic small subunit ribosomal RNA
Source: RNAcentral
GGUGAAAUUCUUGGAUCGUCGCAAGACGGACAGAAGCGAAAGCAUUUGCCAAAAACGUUUUCAUUGAUCAAGAACGAAAGUUAGAGGUUCGAAGGCGAUCAGAUACCGCCCUAGUUCUAACCAUAAACGAUGCCAGCUAGCGAUCCGCCGACGUUCCUCCGAUGACUCGGCGGGCAGCUUCCGGGAAACCAAAGCUUUUGGGUUCCGGGGGAAGUAUGGUUGCAAAGCUGAAACUUAAAGGAAUUGACGGAAGGGCACCACCAGGAGUGGAGCCUGCGGCUUAAUUUGACUCAACACGGGAAACCUCACCAGGCCCGGACACCGGAAGGAUUGACAGAUUGAGAGCUCUUUCUUGAUUCGGUGGGUGGUGGUGCAUGGCCGUUCUUAGUUGGUGGAGCGAUUUGUCUGGUUAAUUCCGAUAACGAACGAGACUCUGGCCUGCUAACUAGGCGUAUUUCCGACAUCUCGAAGGCCCGCCGGCCUGGUGCGUUCGCGUGCCAAGUCGUGCGCGGUUUUUACUGUCGGCGUACAAACAAUUCUUCUUAGAGGGACAGGCGGCUUCUAGCCGCACGAGAUAGAGCAAUAACAGGUCUGUGAUGCCCUUAGAUGUUCUGGGCCGCACGCGCGCUACACUGAAGGAAUCAGCGUGUCCUCCCUGGCCGAGCGGCCCGGGUAACCCGCUGAACCUCCUUCGUGCUAGGGAUUGGGGCUUGCAAUUGUUCCCCAUGAACGAGGAAUUCCCAGUAAGCGCGAGUCAUAAGCUCGCGUUGAUUACGUCCCUGCCCUUUGUACACACCGCCCGUCGCUACUACCGAUUGAAUGAUUUAGUGAGGUCUUCGGACCGGCACGCGGUGGCGUUUCGACGUCGCCGAUGAUGCUGGAAAGAUGACCAAACUUGAUCAUUU